This 253-nucleotide ribosomal RNA is filed under the name uncultured bacterium. RNAcentral's name for it is "partial 16S ribosomal RNA". It matches the Rfam family "Bacterial small subunit ribosomal RNA", at positions 524 to 776 of the family's 1533-position model. The record is from RNAcentral.
UACGUAGGGUGCGAGCGUUGUCCGGAAUUAUUGGGCUUAAAGAGCUCGUAGGUGGUUUGUCGCGUUGUUCGUGAAAACUCACAGCUCAACUGUGGGCGUGCGGGCGAUACGGGCAGACUGGAGUACUGCAGGGGAGACUGGAAUUCCUGGUGUAGCGGUGGAAUGCGCAGAUAUCAGGAGGAACACCGGUGGCGAAGGCGGGUCUCUGGGCAGUAACUGACGCUGAGGAGCGAAAGCGUGGGGAGCGAACAGG